RNAcentral lists this ribosomal RNA (472 nucleotides) under uncultured bacterium. RNAcentral describes it as "partial 16S ribosomal RNA". It matches the Rfam family "Bacterial small subunit ribosomal RNA", at positions 28 to 507 of the family's 1533-position model. The record is from RNAcentral.
GACGAACGCUGGCGGCGUGCUUAACACAUGCAAGUCGAACGAUGAACCCGGAGCUUGCUCUGGGGGAUUAGUGGCGAACGGGUGAGUAACACGUGAGUAACCUGCCCUGGACUCUGGGAUAAGCGUUGGAAACGACGUCUAAUACCGGAUAGGACCUUGGAUCGCAUGAUCUGGGGUGGAAAGUUUUUUCGGUCUGGGAUGGACUCGCGGCCUAUCAGCUUGUUGGUGAGGUAAUGGCUCACCAAGGCGUCGACGGGUAGCCGGCCUGAGAGGGUGACCGGCCACACUGGGACUGAGACACGGCCCAGACUCCUACGGGAGGCAGCAGUGGGGAAUAUUGCACAAUGGGCGAAAGCCUGAUGCAGCAACGCCGCGUGCGGGAUGACGGCCUUCGGGUUGUAAACCGCUUUUAGUAGGGAAGAAGGGCUUCGGCUUGACGGUACCUGCAGAAAAAGGACCGGCUAACUACGUG